This 585-nucleotide ribosomal RNA is filed under the name uncultured bacterium. RNAcentral describes it as "partial 16S ribosomal RNA". It matches the Rfam family "Bacterial small subunit ribosomal RNA", at positions 355 to 1375 of the family's 1533-position model. The record is from RNAcentral.
UGGGGAAUUUUGGACAAUGGGCGAAAGCCUGAUCCAGCAAUGCCGCGUGUGUGAAGAAGGCCUUCGGGUUGUAAAGCACUUUUGUCCGGAAAGAAAUCCUUGGCUCUAAUACAGUCGGGGGAUGACGGUACCGGAAGAAUAAGCACCGGCUAACUACGUGCCAGCAGCCGCGGUAAUACGUAGGGUGCAAGCGUUAAUCGGAAUUACUGGGCGUAAAGCGUGCGCAGGCGGUUUGCUAAGACCGAUGUGAAAUCCCCGGGCUCAACCUGGGAACUGCAUUGGUGACUGGCAGACUAGAGUAUGGCAGAGGGGGGUAGAAUUCCACGUGUAGCAGUGAAAUGCGUAGAGAUGUGGAGGAAUACCGAUGGCGAAGGCAGCCCCCUGGGCCAAUACUGACGCUCAUGCACGAAAGCGUGGGGAGCAAACAGGAUUAGAUACCCUGGUAGUCCACGCCCUAAACGAUGUCAACUAGUUGUUGGGGAUUCAUUUCCUUAGUAACGUAGCUAACGCGUGAAGUUGACCGCCUGGGGAGUACGGUCGCAAGAUUAAAACUCAAAUGAAUUGACGGGGUCAUAGCUGUUUCCU